RNAcentral lists this unclassified non-coding RNA (192 nucleotides) under uncultured Phanerochaete. Its description in RNAcentral is "sequence contains ITS2". Lineage: Eukaryota; Fungi; Basidiomycota; Agaricomycetes; Corticiales; Corticiaceae. The record is from RNAcentral.
AAUUAUCAACUUCUGAAACUUUUGUGACAGAAGCUUGGAUUUGGAGGUCGUGUCGGCUUGCAAAAGUCGACUCCUCUGAAAUGCAUUAGCGUGAACCUUACGGAUCGCCUUCAGUGUGAUAAUUAUCUGCGCUGUGGUGUGAAGUAUCUUAUGUUCUUGCUUCUAACCGUCCGCAAGGACACUUACUUGACA